AUGGGCGAAAGCCUGACGGAGCAACGCCGCGUGAGUGAAGACGGCCUUCGGGUGUGUAAAGCUCUGUUAUAGGGGACGAACGGCCGGGUAGCGAAGAGGUAGCCGGCAUGACGGUACCGUAAGAGAAAGCCACGGCUAACUACGUGCCAGCAGCCGCGGUAAUACGUAGGUGGCAAGCGUUGUCCGGAAUGAUUGGGCGUAAAGGGCGCGCAGGCGGCUGUGUAAGUCUGUCUAAAAAGUGCGGGGCUAAACCCCGUGAGAGGAUGGAAACUGGACAGCUGAGAGUGUCGGAGAGGAAAGCGGAAUUCCUAGUGUAGCGGUGAAAUGCGUAGAUAUUAGGAGGAACACCGGUGGCGAAAGCGGCUUUCUGGACGACAACUGACGCUGAGGCGCGAAAGCCAGGGGAGCAAACGGGAUUAGAUACCCCGGUAGUCCUGGCCGUAAACGAUGGGUACUAGGUGUAGGAGGUAUCGACCCUCCUGUGCCGGAGUUAACGCAUAAGUA
This 504-nucleotide ribosomal RNA is filed under the name Megasphaera geminata. RNAcentral's name for it is "bacterial SSU rRNA". It matches the Rfam family "Bacterial small subunit ribosomal RNA", at positions 371 to 866 of the family's 1533-position model. Lineage: Bacteria; Bacillati; Bacillota; Negativicutes; Veillonellales; Veillonellaceae. The record is from RNAcentral.